GAUGAACGCUGGCGGCGUGCCUAAUACAUGCAAGUCGAGCGAACAGACGAGGAUCUUGCUCCUCUGACGUUAGCGGCGGACGGGUGAGUAACACGUGGAUAACCUACCUAUAAGACUGGGAUAACUUCGGGAAACCGGAGCUAAUACCGGAUAAUAUAUUGAACCGCAUGGUUCAAUAGUGAAAGACGGUUUUGCUGUCACUUAUAGAUGGAUCCGCGCCGCAUUAGCUAGUUGGUAAGGUAACGGCUUACCAAGGCGACGAUGCGUAGCCGACCUGAGAGGGUGAUCGGCCACACUGGAACUGAGACACGGUCCCGACUCCUACGGGAAGCAGCAGUAGGGAAUCUUCCGCAAUGGGCGAAAGCCUGACGGAGUAACGCCGCGUGAGUGAUGAAGGUCUUCGGAUCGUAAAACUCUGUUAUUAGGGAAGAACAAAUGUGUAAGUAACUAUGCACGUCUUGACGGUACCUAAUCAGAAAGCCACGGCUAACUACGUG
This 497-nucleotide ribosomal RNA is filed under the name uncultured bacterium. RNAcentral describes it as "partial 16S ribosomal RNA". It matches the Rfam family "Bacterial small subunit ribosomal RNA", at positions 28 to 507 of the family's 1533-position model. The record is from RNAcentral.